Molecule: ribosomal RNA, 251 nt
Filed under: uncultured bacterium
Lineage: Bacteria
Description: partial 16S ribosomal RNA
Rfam family: Bacterial small subunit ribosomal RNA
Source: RNAcentral
ACGGAGGAUGCGAGCGUUAUCCGGAUUUAUUGGGUUUAAAGGGAGCGCAGACGGGACUUUAAGUCAGCUGUGAAAUUUUCCGGCUCAACCGGGAAACUGCAGUUGAUACUGGCGUCCUUGAGUACGGUCGAGGCAGGCGGAAUUCGUGGUGUAGCGGUGAAAUGCUUAGAUAUCACGAAGAACCCCGAUUGCGAAGGCAGCCUGCCAGACCGCAACUGACGUUCAUGCUCGAAAGUGCGGGUAUCAAACAG